UAUGGCAGAAUAGUGCAAUGGAUUUAAACCCCAUAUAUAAAGUUUAAACUUUUUUUAGAAAUUA
Molecule: transfer RNA, 64 nt
Filed under: Aleochara trisulcata
Lineage: Eukaryota; Metazoa; Arthropoda; Insecta; Coleoptera; Staphylinidae
Description: partial tRNA-Leu
Source: RNAcentral